RNAcentral lists this ribosomal RNA (253 nucleotides) under uncultured bacterium. RNAcentral's name for it is "partial 16S ribosomal RNA". It matches the Rfam family "Bacterial small subunit ribosomal RNA", at positions 1247 to 1500 of the family's 1533-position model. The record is from RNAcentral.
AAGCAAUCCCGCGAGGAGGAGCAAAUCCCUAAAAGCCAUCCCAGUUCGGAUCGCAGGCUGCAACCCGCCUGCGUGAAGUUGGAAUCGCUAGUAAUCGCGGAUCAGCAUGCCGCGGUGAAUACGUUCCCGGGCCUUGUACACACCGCCCGUCACACCAUGAGAGUCGGGAACACCCGAAGUCCGUAGCCUAACCGCAAGGGGGGCGCGGCCGAAGGUGGGUUCGAUAAUUGGGGUGAAGUCGUAACAAGGUAAC